Molecule: long non-coding RNA, 1377 nt
Filed under: Bos grunniens (domestic yak)
Lineage: Eukaryota; Metazoa; Chordata; Mammalia; Artiodactyla; Bovidae
Description: lncRNA (ENSBGRG00000021337.1)
Source: RNAcentral
CUUUGUUCCAGGCACAAUAUGGUUGGAAAUGUAGUACUUCUGCAGAAUAAUUAGUGACAAAUAUCCUUAAAUACCUAUUGAAAAUGGGAUUAUGAUUUUUAGAACUUUGUCUAUGACAAUAGAAAUGAAAUAACAAUGGAUGUGAAGGACAGGUGUGUUCACUGCCAAGAUUUAGCAAUCUAGUUUUAAAAGUAAAACUUGAGGUACUUUAAGUUUGCAAUGUAUGUGACUGAGAUGGAAACAAGAUAACUACUACGUCCGUCUCCUCAAAUCUUAUAGAAUAUGAUAAUAAUUUCUCAGAGGCAUUUAAAAAUGGAAAAUCUAAAUAACACACUUAGAGUUCCAUUUGUCCUUUUAAUUGCAGCCCAAAGUCUCCUAUUUUCUGGAGGUGCUUUUAAAUGCAGCCCAAAGUCUCCUAUUUUCUGGAGGUGUAUUUGAGGUGUAUCUCCUCAAAUAGCCUAAGUGUGAGAAUUUCCUGUUCAAACGUGAAGUGACACAUUGAUGUCAAAUCAACUUUUUCCAUUCUUGCUUCACUCUGAGCCUUCACAGGGCACUCUGUGAAAGUCACAGACAUUGCUUAUUCUUGUCCUGGAUUUAUGUUUUUAAAUUUCUCCUUUUAUUACCCAGCUAUAGCAGGCCUCUUUUAUGAGAGUAUCCUGACCUCCCUACUAAAGGAUGCACGACUUUCUGGCCAACAGAAGGUAUGUGUCUCUCCUCUCCUGUCUCUCUAUUAGACCAUCUCACUUAGUGGGAACUAAUGAAUAUGAAAUGUGAUACAACUGAAAUACAGUUUAUAUAUGGCAAAAUCAAAGUAGAACAUUGUUUUUUAAAAAAAUAAUUUUAACUAAAAAGCAAUCAUAAAAUAUCAAAUAUGAUGGAGCAUUUCUCCAAGUAUUUAAAUUGUUUUCUGUAGAAUGUUAAUCAAGUGCAUACACACAGGCAUGAAUGGGUUUGUAUAUAAUAUUAAGUGAAACCCAAAGACCUCAUGACAGGGAACAAUUAGUUUGAGAUUUUAUGAUCAGUAGAGGUAAGUUUUUUGUAUAAUAAUAUGUUAAUAUAUUUUUGCUAAAUUUUUUAAACAUGUUCUUGGAAAGGAAUUCAUUGUAUAGCAAAGGCCAAACAUAAAACCUCAUACAUGUGUUAGAUUGAAUACAACAAUCCAAAAUUUUAAUAAAAAUCAGAUUGAGGUAAGUUCCUAAAGGCUAAUUUAAACUUAAUUGUAAGCAAUGGAAGUAUUUUUUAAAAAAUCAAACAUAGCAUAAAUGACAUGUUAAACUAAUUGAAGACACUAACUGAUAUAAAUCAGAAAUAGUACCAUAGAAAUGAUGACUAAAAUAAUAAUUAAAACUGAUAAUUAUUGAGAACUUAUAAGUGCCA